RNAcentral lists this long non-coding RNA (4092 nucleotides) under Zea mays. RNAcentral's name for it is "long non-coding RNA (ZMAY_LNC000023)". Lineage: Eukaryota; Viridiplantae; Streptophyta; Magnoliopsida; Poales; Poaceae. The record is from RNAcentral.
CAAGUAUAUCGAAGACAGUCUGAAUGUUGAACAGGAUCUUUCAGCAAGAACACAAUAUCCAGAUAAUGAUGUGUCGUUGUCAAAUUGUUCCUACCUACAAAAAGAGGACAAAACGUGCACUGUGGUCAGAACUUUCAUUAUUCUAAAAAUAAAAUACCUGCCCCAUCAAUCCCAUUGAGCAGUAAGUUUUGUGUGCCAUUUAAUUACAUUAUCACAAGAUCUGUUGCAGGCCCACAAUAUUUGCAUACAAAUGAUUAUCAUAUACAAAAGAUCAUUAACAAUAUUGUCAGCAUAAUCAUAUGGUCUCUUCUCCAGCUGGGACUGCUUACAGGAUUGCCUAUGGUGAUGGAGCUAGGUUUGGAAAAGGGUUUCUGUGCAGCUCUGAGUGAUUUUAUCCUCAUGCAACUGCAGUUAGCAUCAAUUUUCUUCACAUUCUCACUUGGAACAAAAGCACACUACUACGGCCGUACUAUUAUCCAUGGGGGUGCUAAAGGAAUUUCUUAUUGCGCCCAUGUCUAGGAGACUGAGAUGGGAACUGAGAUGGGAACUGAGAUCAUUAACAAUAUAAGUUUGAAUUGGCCACAAGAAAAGGUUGUGUAAAUCAUAUGGUACCCACCCUCUAUACUCUAGUGUAGGCCUUUAUUAAACUGAUUUUAGUUAUGGUAAUACAUAACCCAAACCCAGCUCGAACCUUGUUCCAUUAUCUAAAAAAAACUUAACCCAAACCCAUGUAUGGUUCAGCGGCUCAAGCAAUCUUAAUAGCGAUUCAAAAUGCAAUAAGAUGAAUUCCUACUCAAAUAUAUUACCUUCAGGAAUUUUAGUAGGUCAUCACAGUUUGUUUGGGUUACUUAUAUUAGGCUUAGAGAUAUUAUAUAAUGAACUGACUGUCUGAUGAACCUGAGUCAUUGUUGUAUGGUUCUUCAUUGUAUCAUUAGUAGAGAUUGGAAAAAAACCCACAAUGAUCAAAGUGAUAACACGAUCAAUUAUCAAGCAGUUGAGAAACUGAUAGGAAAAAAUAUCAAACAUGUAGCAAUUCCGUACUCCUAACAAAAAAAACUGCAUUUGCUUUACACAACUAAGUGACUGGGAUUUGAUAGGAAUGAUCAAUAGAAAGUGUAAAGCUUAUGAACACAUAUAUAGAUCAAUGAAGAAGCACAUUGUUAGACCAAAAUGAUGACCUCAUGGUCGUAUAACUGGACUAAAACUGAACAAUUAGCAGAGUAAAUUAUACCACAUACAUGAUUCUUUGGUAAACUGUACAGGUUAUACGGAUACUAUAUCUGAGAUAUAUCACUCCUGCAUAUAGUAGGUGUACUUUUAAUAAAAACAAAAUUGAUGGCUGACACUGAAUCGAAAUGGCAGCACAAUUGUGGACAUUGUUAGCUGCUAGUGUCGACUAUGAACAGACUGAAAAGCAGUGGACUUAUUGAAUCCAUAAGUGUAGAAUGAGUUAGCUGUUGUUACUUGCAAAUGUGUAAGCUGCUUGUGAAGUACUUUUCAGUAUUAAACAUUGAAAAGAAAAAAACAGAAUUACUAUCAUAAACCAUAUUAAUCACUGCACACCUAAAAUUUUACGUGUUUCCACACUGUUGGAGAACACGUCCAUUUUAAAUCAAAGUGGCAUUGAACAUGGUAGUCCACUAACAACGGGAGGAUUAUAUUCAAAUGGAGCAACUACUAACAUGAAUGGGUGGACAUCAACAUUUCAAUAAGAAGUAUGGAUACUGACUAUUUGACAUGACUUACUCUUCAUUUGAAUUGCUACAUCUUUAUCCAUUUGGUGAAAUUGAAUCUACGUUUCAGGGCAAGUAACAUCAGUACACACCUGAAAUGAAAAGGUUUUCUUGGGCGGGUUCUUCUUGGCGGGGAUUGCUCCUCCUUCCUCGGCUCCUUCCUCAGCUUCUCCAAAGUCCACUGCUGCACACGAUUGACGCUUGAGAGAGAAGAAGAACAUAAAUCAGAACGGUUGAGGACAAGUAGCAUCAGUACACACCAAUCAUGUGUAGGUAGACUCGUAGGGGAGAAGAUGAGUCGCAGGUGGUGAAUGGGAUGGGGCAGGUUCCUGGGCGUGUAUUUAGAGGGGGUCAAGCAUGAGCGCGCAGAUAUGUUGUAGGGCAGUCGCGGAUCCGGUGGAGGCGGGUGCGGGCAUGGUUGUUUACAUGCGGCAGACACAAAUUUAGACAUGCGCAUGCGGCGGCGAGGAUCUCGCAUGGUUGUUAGGAUGGAGGCGGCUGCGCGCGUGGCGGCUGCGUCUACGGGCUGCGUUGCGCGGGGUUGGGGGCGGCUGCGCGCGAGCCGGCUGCGCGCGUGGCGGCUGCGGCUGCGCGGGGUUGGGGGCGGCCGCGCGCUGCGCGGGGAAGAAGGCGGGGGCUGAGGCGGCUGCGCGGCGUGGGGAAGGAGGCAGGGGCGGCUGCGCGCUGCGCGGGGGCGGGGUCGCGGGCGGAUGCGCGCAUGUCGCGGGCAGAUGCGCGCAUGUGGCGGGGGCGUUUGCGCGCUGAUGCGCGGGCGCGGGUUGGCGGCUGCGCGAUGCGCGGGGAAAAAGGCGGGGGUUGGUGCGGCUGCGCGCAGCGCGCUGCGUGGAGGGUUGCGCGCAUGUCGCGGGGGCGAGGAGGGAGGCAGCGGGGGCGGGGUUGGGGGCGGCUGCGGUAGCGGGAUCCGACGGUCGUGAUGACGAAAUUGGAUUGGACGGUCGGGAUACGGGGGGGGGGGCACGAUUGUGCCUGGUCUACACUACCGUCUUAAGGAUUAGUAGAUAUAUAUAUAUAUAUAUAUCCUACCACGGGGUUCUCGAAUUUUAACUAAAAUCGGUGCAUCGACAAGAGAAACGACGUAACUAAUAUGUCUAACCAGAUCCAUCCAACCAAUAGCGGAAGUAACGAAUCAGCUUACCACAUUUUAAUCUGACUCGAAGCUUGUGUGAACUGUGACAAUCUGGCGUGAAGAUGAGCAUGGCGCGUGGAGUGAAAUCAGGGUGACGUCGAGAGCGCCAGAACUGUUGUGGCGAAGUCGACGUGAGAUCAGAGACGAAGUUGAUGUCAGCAGGGUCUGCAGAGAUGUGUGCAAGGGGAGGUGAGCUCGCGGUGCCGAGAGCCGACGACUAAGUAAAGCUUGACGACCGACGACACGACAUCUCCAGUGAACGCGAGGGGAAGGCGAGCGGCUCUGGCAACGCACACGAGCUAAGUGUGAUGAACAGGAAGGAGCCCGACGUUAGCUUGAAAGAGAGAUGAGCAAGGGCGAGCUUUGUUGGGUCCUCGGCAAGCUCGACAAACGAACAAGCAGUGAAGGGCGUAUGCAUGGAGACUGAACAGAGAUGUUGUGUAUAGAGCUGUAGGUCUCACGAGAUGACGCAAGUGGCGAAAACGCGAUAUGAUAUCCGAUAAACCCGAUUUUCCUUUCUAUCAGUGAGCUCCGAUAUUUUUUCUCUAUCAGCCAAAAUUUUCAAUUUUUUUGAAUUGGCAGUAUCAAAUGUUUUCAUUGUUAAAUAUCUAAAUAUAAUCUACAUGACAAUUAAACAAACUGAGUCAUUUUUUCAAAUUUGUACCGAAAAUUUUUACCUAUCACCGAUAAAUCCGAUAAUCUUGUUUAUCGCAUAUUUUUUCCCAUUCCAUAAAAUGGACAAGCCCGUAGCGACGCACGACGGUGAGGUAUGGCAAGAAAGUGGCGUCUUUGAGCUGGAGCAGAACCACAACAGGGAGGCGUUGGUCGACGUCGUGCACAAGGAUGAGACGGAAAUAAGGAGGCAGGCCUGCGUGACGAUGGAGCUGGGCGACGUCGAUUUAAGCACGAGGAGCGAGGUGAUGUAGGGGCGAGCGAUCUUGCGCGUCGUCGAGGAGGUCGCAGGAUAGCGGCAUACAGCUCGGCGACGGGAUAAGCAGAAGGGCGAGGUUGAUGACCGGAAAUUGCAGAGGUGGCGGCUUGGGCGAUUGCCACUGGAGAAGGGGCUCGGCUGCUAGAAAGGUCCAAGCACUGAUGUGCGAACCAAUUCCUCUAGUGUCAUCAGGAAUGGAGAAGAAAUAAGAUGGCUGGAAGAUGGACACGUACGUAAUUUCUUCUCCAUGGAUAAGACUGCGUUCAGAAAAUAUCGAGGAG